Molecule: ribosomal RNA, 270 nt
Filed under: uncultured bacterium
Lineage: Bacteria
Description: partial 16S ribosomal RNA
Rfam family: Bacterial small subunit ribosomal RNA
Source: RNAcentral
AACGAACGCUGGCGGCAUGCCUAACACAUGCAAGUCGAACGGGAUCCUAGCUUGCUAGGUGAGAGUGGCGGACGGGUGAGUAACACGUGGGAAUCCGCCUUUUGGUUCGGGAUAACCGCGGGAAACUGCGGCUAAUACCGAAUGCCCUCGUGAGAGGAAAGAUUUAUCGCCAGAAGAGGAGCCCGCGUCCGAUUAGGUAGUUGGUGGGGUAAAGGCCUACCAAGCCGACGAUCGGUAGCUGGUCUGAGAGGAUGAUCAGCCACACUGGGA